UAGCAGUGGUAGCUCAUGCGCUAAAAUUGGAAGGAUGCAGAGAUUAGCAUGUCCCCUGGGCAAAAAUGACACUAAAAUUUGUCUUAAAAUUUUA
Molecule: small nuclear RNA, 94 nt
Filed under: Microtus ochrogaster (prairie vole)
Lineage: Eukaryota; Metazoa; Chordata; Mammalia; Rodentia; Cricetidae
Source: RNAcentral